AUGUGCGAUCUCUCGCGGCCGCUGCCGUUGCUUCCGUGGCUCGCCAUCAAUCGCCAUCGCCAUCGCCAUCGCCAUCGCUUUGCUUGUUGCCUGCUUGCCGCGUCGCCGCUCUACUUCCUCAUGGCUCCUCUCGCUGCUGCUGUUGCGUUUGGGUGCCUGUGGCUGCUUUGUCGUGCGUCCGUGCGGCUGUUUGUUCCUUCUUUUCAGAGAAAUCGCACUAAUCGGUUCGUCGUCAGAUUUGCCUUGCUGUUUCAUUUACUCAAAGGAUCAUCUUUCUCUUCAGUAAAACAGACAGACCUGAAAACAGGGCAAUCCCUUGAUGUCAUCCUCGGUAAGGUUAACUAUACUGAAGAGAACCUGCUCGACUACAUUGAUCCAAACAAUGAUACACUCAUGGUGAGACUUGCCGAUGACCAUUUGGUCGCCAAGUGUCGCAUCAUGGUAGCAACUGACAAGAGGGCCACUAUAACCACCAACUGGUCUGAGUUUCGUCGUCGCGCCAACAUUCGUGAAGGAGAUGUCUGUGCAUUUCGUUUUAGGAUCAUUUCAAGGCGCCGCCUGGUUCUCACCAUGCACCACCUCUAG
This 585-nucleotide ribosomal RNA is filed under the name Triticum aestivum (bread wheat). RNAcentral describes it as "partial small subunit ribosomal RNA". Lineage: Eukaryota; Viridiplantae; Streptophyta; Magnoliopsida; Poales; Poaceae. The record is from RNAcentral.